Molecule: ribosomal RNA, 497 nt
Filed under: uncultured bacterium
Lineage: Bacteria
Description: partial 16S ribosomal RNA
Rfam family: Bacterial small subunit ribosomal RNA
Source: RNAcentral
GACGAACGCUGGCGGCGUGCCUAAUACAUGCAAGUUGAGCGCUGAAGGAUGGUACUUGUACCAACUGGAUGAGCAGCGAACGGGUGAGUAACGCGUGGGGAAUCUGCCUUUGAGCGGGGGACAACAUUUGGAAACGAAUGCUAAUACCGCAUAAAAACUUUAAACACAAGUUUUAAGUUUGAAAGAUGCAAUUGCAUCACUCAAAGAGGAUCCCGCGUUGUAUUAGCUAGUUGGUGAGGUAAAGGCUCACCAAGGCGAUGAUACAUAGCCGACCUGAGAGGGUGAUCGGCCACCUUGGGACUGAGACACGGCCCAAACUCCUACGGGAGGCAGAAGUAGGGAAACUUAGGAAAUGGACGAAAGUCUGACCGAGAAACGCCGAGUGAGUGAAGAAGAUUUUCGGAUCGUAAAACUCUGUUGGUAGAGAAGAACGUUGGUGAGAGUGGAAAGGUCAUUAAGUGACGGUAACUAACCAGAAAGGGACGGCUAACUACGUG